GCCUAUUUAGUUUAUUUAAAACAUUGGUUUUGUAAACCAAAAAAAAAUUAUUAGGUA
Molecule: transfer RNA, 57 nt
Filed under: Deroceras reticulatum
Lineage: Eukaryota; Metazoa; Mollusca; Gastropoda; Stylommatophora; Agriolimacidae
Description: tRNA-Thr
Source: RNAcentral